Molecule: ribosomal RNA, 482 nt
Filed under: uncultured bacterium
Lineage: Bacteria
Description: partial 16S ribosomal RNA
Rfam family: Bacterial small subunit ribosomal RNA
Source: RNAcentral
GACGAACGCUGGCGGCGCGCUUAACACAUGCAAGUCGAGCGAUGAAAUCUUAACAGAACCCUUCGGGGUGAAGAUAAGACGGAUUAGCGGCGGACGGGUGAGUAACACGUGAGUAACCUGCCUUUUACACAGGGAUAGCCUCAGGAAACCGGGAUUAAAACCUGAUGAAACUAUCAAAUCACAUGAUUAAGAAAGUUAAAACUCCGGUGGUAAAAAAUGGACUCGCGUCCCAUUAGCUAGUUGGUGAAGGUAACGGCCCACCAAGGCAACGAUGGGUAGCCGGCCUGAGAGGGUGAACGGCCACAUUGGAACUGAGAAACGGUCCAAACUCCUACGGGAGGCAGCAGUGGGGAAUAUUGCACAAUGGGGGAAACCCUGAUGCAGCGACGCCGCGUGAGCGAAGAAGGCCUUCGGGUCGUAAAGCUCUUUUAUAUGGGAAGAUAAUGUCGGUACCAUAAGAAAAAGCCCCGGCUAACUACGUG